GGCUUCGUAGCUCAGCUGGUAGAACGCAUGCCACGUUGAGGCACGGUGUUUUUGUCGCUGGUUCGAAUCCAGCCGGAGUCC
RNAcentral lists this transfer RNA (81 nucleotides) under Paragonimus heterotremus. It matches the Rfam family "tRNA". Rfam says of the family: Transfer RNA (tRNA) molecules are approximately 80 nucleotides in length. Their secondary structure includes four short double-helical elements and three loops (D, anti-codon, and T loops). Lineage: Eukaryota; Metazoa; Platyhelminthes; Trematoda; Plagiorchiida; Troglotrematidae. The record is from Rfam by way of RNAcentral.